AUGUGCUUUUUAUUGAUAUUGUUGUUGAUUAUUUCAGUUGGUGAAGACAGAGAGUGUGGCUCUUCUUUUUUGUAUGGAGCCUUGCGAUAAUCUGGAUUUCUUGAAAGACAUGGAAUGGGAUCUGGGGUAUUGGUGUCCACUUAUUGAUAAUAUAUGUUUCUUGCAGUAGCUUUGUAAGCUUUAAGAUAUUAGGUAUAUCUUACAAUCAGAUCACCGGUGAAUCC
RNAcentral lists this long non-coding RNA (224 nucleotides) under Helianthus annuus (common sunflower). Its description in RNAcentral is "sRNA HanXRQr2_Chr14g0623651". Lineage: Eukaryota; Viridiplantae; Streptophyta; Magnoliopsida; Asterales; Asteraceae. The record is from RNAcentral.